CACAACACUGCUGACAUCCAUGACUAUCAUAGGACAUGAUGGCAGAAUCUAAUGAAGAAAAUAAUUUGCCACAGCGUCAGUGGACUUGGACUACUUCCGCAUUCAGUGAUCUUUGUGCACUGCCACUUCCGGUGAAUCACUCAUCACUCUGGCGAACCCAUGAUGGACGACCUGAAGUUUACUUAUACUGCAUCCCUGAUGGUUUUCCAAGCCGAGCUUCAAGAAACCUCAGGCAGCUGUACAGCAGGCAAGGUUCUGUGCAACCAUCUAGUGGCCUUGUUCUUCCAGAGUGCCCAUUACAACAUGUUGCAGGUGAGAGCUGUACCACCACUGUGGCCUGUACAAGCUCUCUGCAAACAUGGCAUCGACCAAGGACAAAGGUAACAUUGUAGCCGCGCGGAGCUGCAACGCAUUGAAUAGACUUCCAGUCUAUUUUUCAACCGCGGCGUGAGCUGCCCCGCGUGCCACCUGUUAAUAUCAUUCCCAGGGGAUCCAUGCAGAGCCGGUUCAGGACUUGGUUGUUAGGAGACCAAAGCCAUCCGCCAGGAGUGUAUGCAAAUCAAACACUCUAUGAAGCAUACACAGGAUCCCUCCCUGACCUGCAUGUCUUGUCUCUUGGGAAAGGACUGAAAAACCUCAGGCGGCAACCACUAAUAUCCUCAGUGCUGCAUGGCUUGUCUCAACUCUCCAUGGUCGACUCCAGGUUCGGACCUGUGCUGUGAGGUUCACCCCUGUCCUACCAGUGUCCUCCUGUGGGCAAAUGCGGAAAUUAUGUCCAACACCCAGAUGCACCAACAUUCCCUAAACUGCCUUUAGAGGGGUCAACAUUUCCCACUACUUUUCCAAACUUUGACCCAAACUCCCAACAGUUUCUCCAUUUGGACAGCUUAAAUGUGACACACGAGGUGGCAGCUGAGAGAGAGGAGCAGACACGUGAGCAGUCUGAGUGCCCAUUAUGGCAAGCUUUACACAAGCCUAGAGUGACAGCUAGUAGGUUCUAUGAGGUUAGCCAUGCGAAAGGGCCGUCUUCAGGUCAGACCCUGGCACGGCGAAUACUUAAGGGAGUACGCCAAACUCCCGCCAUGAAAAGGGGCCCUGAACGCAAGCCACAGGUGCUGGAACAAUAUUCAAAACAUUUCAAUGUAAAUGUCUCACGCUGUGGAUUUGUUAUCCAUCCCGAUGCAAGGGUAUAUGACCCUAGUGCCAUUCUGUGUUUUGAGCUUGCUGAAGUUAAAUGCAAAGACAUCUCUAGCAUUUCUGAGGCAGGACAUGCACAAAUGGUGAAUGGUCAGGCAAAACUGAAGCAUAAUCAUAAAUACCACUGGCAGGUUCAAGGUCAAUUGGCAGUAACUGGAUUGAGUUGGUGCGAUUAUAUAACAGACAGAGGGAGACUUCCCAGUCGAAAGAGUCUGGGGGGAUGAUGAAAUGAUAAAAGAGAUG
Molecule: long non-coding RNA, 1440 nt
Organism: Eleginops maclovinus (Patagonian blennie)
Lineage: Eukaryota; Metazoa; Chordata; Actinopteri; Perciformes; Eleginopidae
Exons: 5
Source: RefSeq, a predicted model, not a curated record